GACGAACGCUGGCGGCGUGCUUAACACAUGCAAGUCGAACGGAAAGGCCUCUUUCGGGGGGUACUCGAGUGGCGAACGGGUGAGUAACACGUGAGUAACCUGCCCUUGACUUUGGGAUAACUUCAGGAAACUGGGGCUAAUACCGGAUAGGAGCUCCUGCUGCAUGGUGGGGGUUGGAAAGUUUUGGCGGUUGGGGAUGGGCUCGCGGCUUAUCAGCUUGUUGGUGGGGUUGUGGCUUACCAAGGCUUUGACGGGUAGCCGGCCUGAGAGGGUGAGCGGCCACAUUGGGACUGAGAUACGGCCCAGACUCCUACGGGAGGCAGCAGUGGGGAAUAUUGCACAAUGGGUGGAAGCCUGAUGCAGCAACGCCGUGUGCGGGAUGACGGCCUUCGGGUUGUAAACCGCUUUCGCUCAUGACGAAGCUUUGUGUGACGGUAGUGAGUAAAGAAGCACCGGCUAACUACGUG
Molecule: ribosomal RNA, 467 nt
Filed under: uncultured bacterium
Lineage: Bacteria
Description: partial 16S ribosomal RNA
Rfam family: Bacterial small subunit ribosomal RNA
Source: RNAcentral